Molecule: long non-coding RNA, 1175 nt
Filed under: Sorghum bicolor (sorghum)
Lineage: Eukaryota; Viridiplantae; Streptophyta; Magnoliopsida; Poales; Poaceae
Description: long non-coding RNA (SBIC_LNC014534)
Source: RNAcentral
UAGGCUGUGUUGGUUGGUUCUUUGAGAGUGUGGUUGGGCGAAUCCUCGAUUCAGGUUGCCGGUUAAAGACGGUGGUUGGCUUCGAGUUUUAUUUAUCAGGUUGCACUAGUUAUCGCUGCUUGCAGCAAGUUAUCCGGCUGUUCUUCAGCUAGUUAUCGGUGUUCAUCCUACGCCGUGAAGAUCGGGACAACGUGACGCAUCAUCUGGUAUCAAAGCUUUCAUUACCACGGUAGGAAUUUUAUCCCUAGCUACAUAUAUAUUUUGCUUCGUCCUAUCCACCAAAAAGCCAGAAAAAUAUAUUGCUUAGACCUUUGUUUCAUUCUGUUGGUUUAGUGAGUUCAGUUAAGUCGCAGUCCAUUAGAGUCUUUGUUUUAGUUGUUGAUCAUUUAUCGUUCGCGUGUUCUUUGUGCCACUUUUAUAUCUAAAAAUCCCCAAAAAAAAUCUCUAUAGCCUAUAUCAUCCUUUGUGUUAACUUUGAUCCUAUCUAGCUACUGGUUGUUGUUUUAUUUCUGUCUUUAGUUGUGCAAGUAUCAUAAUCUGAUCCCUGUUUUUAGUUUUAUAUAUAAAAAAAGUGUGUCAAAAAAAAAGAAACGAAAGUGCAAAAAAAAAGUGAAGUGAAAACAAGUUGAGAAAGGUUCAGAGAGAAAGUCCGAAAGAUUAUUUGGUUUAUGUGCACAAGUGCUGAAAGUUUCAUAUCAAGUUCUGCAACCAGUUUGCUAUCUUUGUUUGGUGCAAAACUUUGGUUGGGUUUGAUUGCAACACUUGCAUCCCAAUCAUACUCCUUGUUUGCAUCAAUUCUGAAAUUUCUUUGCGUGUGUGCGAUCUAUUUAUACACUUUGAAUCUUUUGAUCAGCACUAGGCAUAGAACUUCUAGUUUGGAUCGUUACUUAACUUUACAAUAACUAGAAUUCAGAUUGCAUUCCUUGUGUAUUACUCCCCACCAAGCUCCACAUAAAAACCAUUGUAAUCGAUACUCUCUGUUCUUGUAUUCGCCUUGCCAUCACUUUCAGUUGCCACCACACAUUUGUUUUCCUUGUAAUCUGCACCAGAGAAAUUCAUAAGAGCUUUGGUGGUUAGAGAGGUGAGUUGUGAGAGCCACCAAAUUUUCAUAUUCCACAAAUACAAAUUAUAUGUAUUCAGCUAACCUUACAGGAAGAUGGGUCAAGUGGACAGCA